UUCAACUUGAGAGUUUGAUCCUGGCUCAGAACGAACGCUGGCGGCAGGCUUAACACAUGCAAGUCGAACGCAUCCUUCGGGGUGAGUGGCAGACGGGUG
This 99-nucleotide ribosomal RNA is filed under the name Microvirga aerilata. Its description in RNAcentral is "partial 16S ribosomal RNA". It matches the Rfam family "Bacterial small subunit ribosomal RNA", at positions 1 to 108 of the family's 1533-position model. The record is from RNAcentral. Lineage: Bacteria; Pseudomonadati; Pseudomonadota; Alphaproteobacteria; Hyphomicrobiales; Methylobacteriaceae.